This 253-nucleotide ribosomal RNA is filed under the name uncultured bacterium. Its description in RNAcentral is "partial 16S ribosomal RNA". It matches the Rfam family "Bacterial small subunit ribosomal RNA", at positions 524 to 776 of the family's 1533-position model. The record is from RNAcentral.
UACGGAGGGAGCUAGCGUUGUUCGGAAUUACUGGGCGUAAAGCGCACGUAGGCAGCUUUGUAAGUUAGAGGUGAAAGCCCGGAGCUCAACUCCGGAACUGCCUUUAAGACUGCAUCGCUUGAAUCCAGGAGAGGUGAGUGGAAUUCCGAGUGUAGAGGUGAAAUUCGUAGAUAUUCGGAAGAACACCAGUGGCGAAGGCGGCUCACUGGACUGGUAUUGACGCUGAGGUGCGAAAGCGUGGGGAGCAAACAGG